RNAcentral lists this ribosomal RNA (484 nucleotides) under uncultured bacterium. Its description in RNAcentral is "partial 16S ribosomal RNA". It matches the Rfam family "Bacterial small subunit ribosomal RNA", at positions 30 to 507 of the family's 1533-position model. The record is from RNAcentral.
AUUGAACGCUGGCGGCAGGCCUAACACAUGCAAGUAGAGCGGAUGAAGGGAGCUUGCUCCUGGAUUCAGUGGCGGACGGGCGAGUAAUGCCUAGGAAUCUGCCCGGUAGUGGGGGAUAACGUCCGGAAACGGGCGCUAAUAUAGCAUACGUUCUCAGGGGGUGAGUGGGGGAUCUUCGGACCUCACGCCAUUAGAUGAGCCUAGGGCGGAUUCGCCAGUUGGUGGGGUAAAGGCCUCCCAAGGCGCCGAUCUGUAACAGGUCUGAGAGGAUGAUCAGUAACACUGGAACUGGGACACGGUCCAGACUCCUACGGGAGGCAGCAGAGGGGAAUAUUGGACAAUGGGCGAAAGCCUGAUCCAGCCAGGCCGCGUGUGUGAAGAAGGUCUUCGGAUUGUAAAGCACGUUAAGUUGGGAGGAAGGGCAGUAAGUUAAUACCUUGCUGUUGUGACGUUACCAACAGAAUAAGCACCGGCUAACUACGUG